Molecule: ribosomal RNA, 429 nt
Filed under: Chloroflexota bacterium
Lineage: Bacteria; Bacillati; Chloroflexota
Description: Chloroflexi bacterium partial 16S ribosomal RNA
Rfam family: Bacterial small subunit ribosomal RNA
Source: RNAcentral
UGGGGAAUAUUGCACAAUGGGCGCAAGCCUGAUGCAGCCAUGCCGCGUGUGUGAAGAAGGACUUCGGGUUGUAAAGCACUUUCAGCGGGGAGGAAGGCGUUAAGGUUAAUAACCUUGGCGAUUGACGUUACCCGCAGAAGAAGCACCGGCUAACUCCGUGCCAGCAGCCGCGGUAAUACGGAGGGUGCAAGCGUUAAUCGUAAUUACUGGGCGUAAAGCGCACGCAGGCGGUCUGUCAAGUCGGAUGUGAAAUCCCCGGGCUAAACCUGGGAACUGCAUUCGAAACUGGCAGGCUAGAGUCUUGUAGAGGGGGGUAGAAUUCCAGGUGUAGCGGUGAAAUGCGUAGAGAUCUGGAGGAAUACCGGUGGCGAAGGCGGCCCCCUGGACAAAGACUGACGCUCAGGUGCGAAAGCGUGGGGAGCAAACAGG